GGGUUGUGAGGUUAAGCGACUAAGCGUACACGGUGGAUGCCCUGGCAGUCAGAGGCGAUGAAGGACGUGCUAAUCUGCGAUAAGCGUCGGUAAGGUGAUAUGAACCGUUAUAACCGGCGAUUUCCGAAUGGGGAAACCCAGUGUGAUUCGUCACACUAUCAUUAACUGAAUCCAUAGGUUAAUGAGGCGAACCGGGGGAACUGAAACAUCUAAGUACCCCGAGGAAAAGAAAUCAACCGAGAUUCCCCCAGUAGCGGCGAGCGAACGGGGAGGAGCCCAGAGCCUGAAUCAGUGUGUGUGUUAGUGGAAGCGUCUGGAAAGGCGCGCGAUACAGGGUGACAGCCCCGUACACAAAAAUGCACAUGCUGUGAGCUCGAUGAGUAGGGCGGGACACGUGGUAUCCUGUCUGAAUAUGGGGGGACCAUCCUCCAAGGCUAAAUACUCCUGACUGACCGAUAGUGAACCAGUACCGUGAGGGAAAGGCGAAAAGAACCCCGGCGAGGGGAGUGAAAAAGAACCUGAAACCGUGUACGUACAAGCAGUGGGAGCACGCUUAGGCGUGUGACUGCGUACCUUUUGUAUAAUGGGUCAGCGACUUAUAUUCUGUAGCAAGGUUAACCGAAUAGGGGAGCCGAAGGGAAACCGAGUCUUAACUGGGCGUUAAGUUGCAGGGUAUAGACCCGAAACCCGGUGAUCUAGCCAUGGGCAGGUUGAAGGUUGGGUAACACUAACUGGAGGACCGAACCGACUAAUGUUGAAAAAUUAGCGGAUGACUUGUGGCUGGGGGUGAAAGGCCAAUCAAACCGGGAGAUAGCUGGUUCUCCCCGAAAGCUAUUUAGGUAGCGCCUCGUGAAUUCAUCUCCGGGGGUAGAGCACUGUUUCGGCAAGGGGGUCAUCCCGACUUACCAACCCGAUGCAAACUGCGAAUACCGGAGAAUGUUAUCACGGGAGACACACGGCGGGUGCUAACGUCCGUCGUGAAGAGGGAAACAACCCAGACCGCCAGCUAAGGUCCCAAAGUCAUGGUUAAGUGGGAAACGAUGUGGGAAGGCCCAGACAGCCAGGAUGUUGGCUUAGAAGCAGCCAUCAUUUAAAGAAAGCGUAAUAGCUCACUGGUCGAGUCGGCCUGCGCGGAAGAUGUAACGGGGCUAAACCAUGCACCGAAGCUGCGGCAGCGACGCUGAUGCGUUGUUGGGUAGGGGAGCGUUCUGUAAGCCUGCGAAGGUGUGCUGUGAGGCAUGCUGGAGGUAUCAGAAGUGCGAAUGCUGACAUAAGUAACGAUAAAGCGGGUGAAAAGCCCGCUCGCCGGAAGACCAAGGGUUCCUGUCCAACGUUAAUCGGGGCAGGGUGAGUCGACCCCUAAGGCGAGGCCGAAAGGCGUAGUCGAUGGGAAACAGGUUAAUAUUCCUGUACUUGGUGUUACUGCGAAGGGGGGACGGAGAAGGCUAUGUUGGCCGGGCGACGGUUGUCCCGGUUUAAGCGUGUAGGCUGGUUUUCCAGGCAAAUCCGGAAAAUCAAGGCUGAGGCGUGAUGACGAGGCACUACGGUGCUGAAGCAACAAAUGCCCUGCUUCCAGGAAAAGCCUCUAAGCAUCAGGUAACAUCAAAUCGUACCCCAAACCGACACAGGUGGUCAGGUAGAGAAUACCAAGGCGCUUGAGAGAACUCGGGUGAAGGAACUAGGCAAAAUGGUGCCGUAACUUCGGGAGAAGGCACGCUGAUAUGUAGGUGAAGCGACUUGCUCGUGGAGCUGAAAUCAGUCGAAGAUACCAGCUGGCUGCAACUGUUUAUUAAAAACACAGCACUGUGCAAACACGAAAGUGGACGUAUACGGUGUGACGCCUGCCCGGUGCCGGAAGGUUAAUUGAUGGGGUUAGCGCAAGCGAAGCUCUUGAUCGAAGCCCCGGUAAACGGCGGCCGUAACUAUAACGGUCCUAAGGUAGCGAAAUUCCUUGUCGGGUAAGUUCCGACCUGCACGAAUGGCGUAAUGAUGGCCAGGCUGUCUCCACCCGAGACUCAGUGAAAUUGAACUCGCUGUGAAGAUGCAGUGUACCCGCGGCAAGACGGAAAGACCCCGUGAACCUUUACUAUAGCUUGACACUGAACAUUGAGCCUUGAUGUGUAGGAUAGGUGGGAGGCUUUGAAGUGUGGACGCCAGUCUGCAUGGAGCCGACCUUGAAAUACCACCCUUUAAUGUUUGAUGUUCUAACGUGGACCCGUAAUCCGGGUUGCGGACAGUGUCUGGUGGGUAGUUUGACUGGGGCGGUCUCCUCCUAAAGAGUAACGGAGGAGCACGAAGGUUGGCUAAUCCUGGUCGGACAUCAGGAGGUUAGUGCAAUGGCAUAAGCCAGCUUGACUGCGAGCGUGACGGCGCGAGCAGGUGCGAAAGCAGGUCAUAGUGAUCCGGUGGUUCUGAAUGGAAGGGCCAUCGCUCAACGGAUAAAAGGUACUCCGGGGAUAACAGGCUGAUACCGCCCAAGAGUUCAUAUCGACGGCGGUGUUUGGCACCUCGAUGUCGGCUCAUCACAUCCUGGGGCUGAAGUAGGUCCCAAGGGUAUGGCUGUUCGCCAUUUAAAGUGGUACGCGAGCUGGGUUUAGAACGUCGUGAGACAGUUCGGUCCCUAUCUGCCGUGGGCGCUGGAGAACUGAGGGGGGCUGCUCCUAGUACGAGAGGACCGGAGUGGACGCAUCACUGGUGUUCGGGUUGUCAUGCCAAUGGCACUGCCCGGUAGCUAAAUGCGGAAGAGAUAAGUGCUGAAAGCAUCUAAGCACGAAACUUGCCCCGAGAUGAGUUCUCCCUGACUCCUUGAGAGUCCUGAAGGAACGUUGAAGACGACGACGUUGAUAGGCCGGGUGUGUAAGCGCAGCGAUGCGUUGAGCUAACCGGUACUAAUGAACCGUGAGGCUUAACCUUACAACGCCGAAGCUGUU
RNAcentral lists this ribosomal RNA (2930 nucleotides) under Escherichia coli. RNAcentral's name for it is "23S ribosomal RNA". It matches the Rfam family "Bacterial large subunit ribosomal RNA". The record is from RNAcentral. Lineage: Bacteria; Pseudomonadati; Pseudomonadota; Gammaproteobacteria; Enterobacterales; Enterobacteriaceae.